UUCUUUCUUUGUAUUUGCUUCUGUGCUCUGGGAGAGAUGGUACGUAUUUUAUCAUCAGACAUCAUCUUAAGAAGAAGAGUUUUCCAGGUGCCAACCUCCU
Molecule: long non-coding RNA, 100 nt
Organism: Neomonachus schauinslandi (Hawaiian monk seal)
Lineage: Eukaryota; Metazoa; Chordata; Mammalia; Carnivora; Phocidae
Exons: 3
Source: RefSeq, a predicted model, not a curated record